Small RNA from Sodalis sp. TME1, 78 nucleotides. It matches the Rfam family "isrK Hfq binding RNA". NCBI's taxonomy places the organism in Bacteria, Pseudomonadati, Pseudomonadota, Gammaproteobacteria, Enterobacterales, Bruguierivoracaceae. The record is from Rfam.
GCAUCUGCAAAUUCAGGUGCCGGGAUUGACCUCCCGGAUAACUAACAAGGCGCAUAACACGCCGAGAGCGUGUUUUUU